AUUGAACGCUGGCGGCAGGCCUAACACAUGCAAGUCGAGCGGAUGAAGGGAGCUUGCUCCUGGAUUCAGCGGCGGACGGGUGAGUAAUGCCUAGGAAUCUGCCUGGUAGUGGGGGAUAACGUCCGGAAACGGGCGCUAAUACUGCAUACGUCCUGAGGGAGAAAGUGGGGGAUCUUCGGACCUCACGCUAUCAGAUGAGCCUAGGUCGGAUUAGCUAGUUGGUGGGGUAAAGGCCUACCAAGGCGACGAUCCGUAACUGGUCUGCGAGGAUGAUCAGUCACACUAGAACUGAGACACGGUCCAGACUCCUACGGGAGGCAGCAGUGGGGAAUAUUGGGCAAUGGGCGAAAGCCUGAUCCAGCCAUGCCGCGUGUGUGAAGAAGGUCUUCGGAUUGUAAAGCACUUUAAGUUGGGAGGAAGGGCAGUAAGUUAAGACCUUGCUGUUUUGACGUUACCAACAGAAGAAGCACCGGCUAACUUCGUG
RNAcentral lists this ribosomal RNA (484 nucleotides) under uncultured bacterium. Its description in RNAcentral is "partial 16S ribosomal RNA". It matches the Rfam family "Bacterial small subunit ribosomal RNA", at positions 30 to 507 of the family's 1533-position model. The record is from RNAcentral.